This 1905-nucleotide unclassified non-coding RNA is filed under the name Hevea brasiliensis (rubber tree). Lineage: Eukaryota; Viridiplantae; Streptophyta; Magnoliopsida; Malpighiales; Euphorbiaceae. The record is from RNAcentral.
CUUAAAUCCCCACUCCAACAAUGGUGCAUCGUUUGGACAGUGAAGUACAUAGACUCAACACACUACCCAGUACCACAACGCAAAGCAGCAGUUGAGAUAGUAACAUAAUGUCCAAUGAUCCCUCUGGCAUUCUAACCAUCCUUGCACUCUCAAAGCAUUCAUUCUAUACUGUAGAAUUCAUGAAGAGGAAUGCUAAAAAGUGUACUGGAUACCUUGAACUGCUGGCUCAAGUAGGAAAAAUCAUUCAGAAUUUUACCCCACAAAGCAAAGAUUCUGGUUCAACUCAGACUCUUUCAGUAACAGUUAAGGCAGGUUCUAAAUUAAGUCACAACAGUUUUGUUGGCCUCAAUCAGAGCCAAAGAAGUGAUGGAGUCUUAAGUUGCCUAAAGGGACUUGUUUAGUUGUGUUUCUCAUUGCGCAACACAUAAUUUAACUACAAUGAAGGUUAGAUAGCUACUAUUAUCCAUGUUUUAUAAUAAUUCCAUAUGUUUUCUGACAGCCAAAUGUUAAGCAAUACAAAUCACUUUGUCUAGUGAUUAACAAAUGAGAUUAGAAUCAAGUCUCAAGACUGUCUAAAAUGGCAGUAAGUUUUGCUUUUGGAUUGACAAUUGGCAAGGCACAAAUACAAUAAGAAACAUGGUCCAAGAAUCCCCCGAAAUUACGCAGUUCCAUGGAAUUUUGAGGCCUUAUUCUGGAAUGCUGCUAAAAAAUAUGUAUAUAGUAAUACACAAAAUGACACACAUCCUUAGACAAACUAUUCCAGGACCUCCAGAUUUCCUAGUUUUGUCUAGAAAUGCUAAUGGGCAAUUUCACCCAGAGAGCCUACCAACUGCUAAUGUAGGGCUAUGACUAUAGUGACACAACCACUUGGCAAUCAGAAUAGAACAUUCCAUCCAAUCCAUGUGUCAGAUAUUCCAUGUAGCUCAGUUAUGACCAAAGACUGGUAAUUAAGAAUCCUGAGAAAGAAAGAAAAAUCAUGAAUGAACACUAGCCCUUUUGGCCAUAACAACCUUUUCGUCCCAUUAAAUGAGUGGACUAAAACCAAUUACAUUAACCCAUGUAGCACAAAUGGUAUGAAAAAUCAUUUUCCAUAUAUCAGUAUAGACUGUCUGAGCCACUCAAAACAAAUUUGUUUAGGAAAAAAGAACAUCACAGUACACUGAAUUACAUCUAAUCACUGGGUAAAGCUUAUGAAUACAACCAUAUAGUUGGCUUAAGACCUACAAGUAUCAAAGAUACUGACUGACCAAAAAACUAGUUGGAACACCCAACCAACCGGACUAUCUAAACUUAACGUCAAUGGUUCUUCUUCUAUAGGAAAACCAGAAAAGGAUGAGCAGGUGGUCUCAUUCCUCUACAGAAUUUCCAAAUCCCAUUUAGAAUCUCACAUACACAGUGCUAUUAUGCAUUGCUUUUGGAGGAGCUGGACUACUCAGUUCUCCACAACGCUUUUAUGGCAUUUACAAUUGCUACUGCUUGUAAAAAAAUUUCCCUUUGAAAUAAUAAUAAUAAUUAAAAAAAACUUCCAAGAUCUCUCCUCUCAUGAUUACUGGCAACCACAAUAACAAUAAUAGGAAAGAAAAUUCACCCAUUCUCAGUGUAAGAACAAACAACAAUAAUACAGCAAAUUUUCCUAAGAAAAUCAAAAUAUCAACAAACCUGUUAAUGCAAAAUAUCAACAAACCUGUUAAUGCGAUUCCAGCAGUUUAUUGAAGCAGAGCUCAAUUGAUGGGUAGAAAAUUAAAUUCAGAGAAGAGAAGAGGAAGAAGGAAACCAUGGAAGCACAGGUUCAGAGUAAAAAUUCCGAAUAAAAAACCCAGAAAUUUGGAUAAAGAACCAAAUUAACCGAAAAUUGGAGAAAUGGAAGGGGCAAUUUUUGGGAAAAAAAAAAAUUUGGACCAUUUC